This is a long non-coding RNA of Carassius gibelio (silver crucian carp), 1112 nucleotides long. RefSeq lists it as uncharacterized. Lineage: Eukaryota; Metazoa; Chordata; Actinopteri; Cypriniformes; Cyprinidae. The transcript is spliced from 4 exons. The record is from RefSeq and is a predicted model, not a curated record.
GUUUAUAUGUAUGUGCGAGUAUGUGCAGUGUGUUUGUAUGCAGCGAGUUUAUAUGUAUGUGCGAGUGUUUAAUAGGUGUAUAUGCACGGAUCAAGUUUAUAUGUAUGUGCGAGUAUGUGCAGGUGUGUUUGUAUGCAGCGAGUUUAUAUGUAUGUGCGAGUGUUUAAUAGGUGUAUAUGCACGGAUCAAGUUUAUAUGUAUGUGCGAGUAUGUGCAGUUGUGUUUGUAUGCAGCGAGUUUAUAUGUAUGUGCGAGUGUUUAAUAGGUGUAUAUGCAUGGAUCAAGUUAAUAUGUAUGUGCGAGUAUGUGCAGGUGUGUUUGUAUGCAGCGAGUUUAUAUGUAUGUGCGAGUGUUUAAUAGGUGUAUAUGCACGGAUCAAGUUUAUAUGUAUGUGCGAGUAUGUGCAGUUGUGUUUGUAUGCAGCGAGUUUAUAUGUAUGUGCGAGUGUUUAAUAGGUGUAUAUGCAUGGAUCAAGUUAAUAUGUAUGUGCGAGUAUGUGCAGGUGUGUUUGUAUGCAGCGAGUUUAUAUGUAUGUGCGAGUGUUUAAUAGGUGUAUAUGCACGGAUCAAGUUUAUAUGUAUGUGCGAGUAUGUGCAGGUGUGUUUGUAUGCAGCGAGUUUAUAUGUAUGUGCGAGUGUUUAAUAGGUGUAUAUGCACGGAUCAAGUUUAUAUGUAUGUGCGAGUAUGUGCAGUUGUGUUUGUAUGCAGCGAGUUUAUAUGUAUGUGCGAGUGUUUAAUAGGUGUAUAUGCACGGAUCAAGUUUAUAUGUAUGUGCGAGUAUGUGCAGUUGUGUUUGUAUGCAGCGAGUUUAUAUGUAUGUGCGAGUGUUUAAUAGGUGUAUAUGCAUGGAUCAAGUUAAUAUGUAUAUGUGAGUGUCUGUAGGUGUAUGCACGUGUCAAGUUUAUAUGUAUACGCAAGUUAUUCACAAGUGUGUAUGCAUACAUUGCUAACAUUAUAUGUAUUGGUAUCGAUUUCAUAUUAGUGUUCACGUGUAUUUUAUAUAUGUAUUUUUGAACAUUCAGUAGUAUGCAUGUAUAUGCGAGUAAUUUGUAGGUGUAUAUGCACGUGUUUUAUGUAUGUAUUGAUAAGCGAAGUUUGAUUUAAAUCCUACA